UACAGAGGGUGCGAGCGUUGUCCGGAAUCACUGGGCGUAAAGGGCGCGUAGGUGGCCCGCCAAGUCACUGGUGAAAGCUCGAUGCUUAACAUCGAGUCGGCCAGUGAUACUGGUGGGCUGGAGCACUGUAGAGGCUCAUGGAAUUCCGGGUGUAGCGGUGGAAUGCGUAGAGAUCCGGAAGAACACCCGUGGCGAAGGCGGUGUGCUGGGCUGCACCUGACGCUGAGAUGCGAAAGUGUGGGGAGCAAACGGG
Molecule: ribosomal RNA, 253 nt
Filed under: uncultured bacterium
Lineage: Bacteria
Description: partial 16S ribosomal RNA
Rfam family: Bacterial small subunit ribosomal RNA
Source: RNAcentral